Heterocephalus glaber (naked mole-rat) is the source of this 455-nucleotide non-coding RNA. Lineage: Eukaryota; Metazoa; Chordata; Mammalia; Rodentia; Bathyergidae. The record is from RefSeq and is a predicted model, not a curated record.
CCUUCACCACUCUCUGGUCCGGAAUCCUCUCGAUUUCGACCAUGUUCCGGUCACACAGCUGCCAGCAGUUGGGGGACAGGAUGACGUCAUUCAUCUGCGCCAGGUUCUGUGCCAGCCGCACGUCGUCCACCGCCUGGCCGGUCACCAGGAAGUGGUUGCGUCUCUCGUCCCCGAAGACCACCAAGACUACCAGUGCAGACAAGAUGGCAGACAGAGGCGAAAAGGGAGCGGACUUCACUCAGCUGUGAGGGCUUCAGGACCCACCAUCAGGAGACGAAGGGGUGGUGGAACUCCGAUGUGAGCCUGUGACCCACACCAACCCCACACAUCCUUUUGGCACUUGCCUGAAAUAUCAACGAACAUCAGGACUCCAUCAAAAUAAUCCAUGGAGGGCCGCUCCGGAGAGAAAUUUCCAUAGACAAUGAGGUCUGGUAAAUGAGCCGCUAUUCUGACAA